AUGCCGACGCUUUCUCUCGCCCGUCGUGCCGCCAUGCCGACGCUUCUUUUUCUGCUCCAGCUGCUCGCCUUUUCCCUGCUGGCCCUGCGAGCCUGCUCUCCGCGCGUGCAGCCGCCGCCCCUGGCGGUCAGCUGCCUCGGAGCUCCCGGACGCGGCUCCGCAGGGCGCAGCGGCGAGGGCUGGCUGUCCUGCCUGGGGAAUGGCACCUUGCGACUGCGGUACCGGCCAGCCCCAGGAGCGACAGCGGAGGCAGAGAGCACAGAGAGGCAGCCUGCCUCCCCGCCGCACUGCCGCUGGUACCUGAAUUGGGGUUGGGUGAAGAACACCUCCCUCUGGUCAGGGCAGUUCACGCUCCAGUCAGGCCUCUCCCUGGGAAGCGCUCUCUGGCCGGUGGCCUCCAGUCUCAUUACAGUGCAGAGCUCAUCUGCCUCAUGCGCUGCACCCGAGUGCCUUUAUCGCAACUUGAGUGUCAAGAUGUCAGCAAGGUGGGCCGCCCAGAAGAGCUCACACGCAUACCGUGAUGGCACGAGAAGUGCCACCUGCUUGUUCCAUUGCUCUGCUUUCCCCGGGGAUCCUGAGAAACACCAAGGGUUCGUGGCAAAAGUGAGCAUCACCCGAAAUGGACUGACACCGGCUCUCCCAAGCGUCAGGGAUGACACUUCAAAAGCAACAGAGCUGGCAGUGCUUCACCAGGAAGCAGCCUGCAAAUUCAACUCGGUUACAAUUCAAAAACCUUCUCUUCACACCUCUGUCAUACGUCAGAAAAAGGGGAAAACGUUUGAGCUGUAUGCCAGAGUGCUAGUGGACUGCAACCUCCACGUGUCCAUAAAGCCUCAGUGGAUAUUCUAUGCUGUUAAGGACAUGAAAACUAAUCCAGACUGGGACCAACCUUUAAAUACAUCAGCGAUGCACGGUGUCAACACAGUACAGCUAACGGUUCCCAGCUGGACCUUGGAUUAUGGAAUGUAUCAGGUCUAUUUUACUGCUUCAGUAUACAUGCUUGGGACCAAAAGAUCCUUCAAUAACACAGACAGGGUUUUCAUCAAGAUAGAGAGAAGUGAUCUUGUGGCAAGUAUUGCAGGAGGCAACUUCCGGACAGUGGGCUUUUUUGAUAAUUGGACUCUCGAUGGCUCCGUGUCCUACGACCCCGAUUCACCGGAACGACUAAAGGGACUCACGUUUACUUGGUACUGCACUAAGAAGCUAUUGGACUAUGAAAGCAUGAGAAUCAGUGCGGGAAAUAAAUGUCAUCCAGCCCAGAGGGAUUUGAGGUGGCUGACAUCUUCAGGGGCUGUUCAAGUGCUAGCACCGGAAUCGCUCCCGGGAAACACUGUCUACCACUUCCGUUUAGUCAUUCAAAAGGAUAGAAGACAGAGUUAUGCCGACCAAAGCGUAAACGUGCAGUCUGGCUUCUCACCUCUCCUGGAUGUGGCGUGCCUUGAAAACUGUGGCAGCGCUGUAAUUCCGACAGAGAGGUUUACGUUGUCAGGCAGAUGCCUCAACUGUCAAACAAGCAGCCAGAUAGUCUACCACUGGUCGCUUUGGAUGGAAAAUUCUACAGAAAUUAGCUUUGAUUGGUCUUCCAGGACCUCAACAGCUUCUGUCCUAAACUACACUGAAGCCGCACCAACACUCCCGAUACCCAAGGCUCAGUUGAGGGAAAGCCUGCUUAAGGCAGCCCUGAAUAUUUCGGUUGAGAGCACGAUGGAUGGAUGCCUGGUGGACACGUGCAGACUUGGUUCCCUGACCAACUGGCAACGGGUACACUGUGUCUGCAGCAUGAAGCAGAGUCACAGGAGCCGGUCAGUCCUCACUGCCUCAAAUACAUCCACAUUUGACAUCAAGUUCCUGGCAGCCAAAGUCAUUGUGACCCCCAACAGAGUAGAUCUCAAAGGAAACCUAAUAGCGGACAUCCCUAAGAACCCCGUGACCCUUCUAACAGUGCUCUUCAUUUUUUCAGCCUACUUUCUUUUGUCUCUCUGGGCCGUGCGGAAAGACAGGGCUGAGAUGGUCAGCAAAGACAAAAUUAUAGUUCUGCCCGACAACGACCCCUUUGAUAAAGUCAGCUUUUUGGUCACUUUGUACACCGGCAGUCGCUGGGGAGCUGGAACCAGCGCAGAUGUUUUUCUUCAGCUCAUCGGCCAGAACGGCACAAGUGAUGUCCACUGCUUGCGGCAUCCACAGUUUCCUGCUUUCCGUCGAGGAAGCACUGACUGUUUUCUCUUGACUACGAAGGAAGACCUGGGAGACAUCUGCGCCUUCAGGGUCUGGCACAACAACAGAGGCCCAUCGCCAGGCUGGUUCUUAAGCAGAGCCAAAGUUGAACACGUGUCCGCUCGGAAGACCUGGUUCUUUAUGUGCAGGAAAUGGCUUGCCCUUGACAAGGGAGAUGGCUUACUAGAAAGGACAUUUUCCGUCACCAACCCAAAAGCACCUCUAUCCAGAAAGGAUUAUUUUUUGAUUGAUCUGGCCAGAGGUCUGAAAGAGGGCCAUCUAUGGCUCUCUGUUUUUGCUCAGGUUCUCACUGGCACUUAUAGCAGGCUCCAAAGGUUAUCUUCCUGUCUAACAACAUUAUUAUUAAAGCUGUUUGUUAACAUUAUGUUCUUUAAUGCUGACAGGGAUGAAGAAUCUCCAAGACACCUGAGGUACUUGAGAUCAAUUGCCAUAGGCAUUGAAUAUACUUUGAUUGCAGUACCUGUGGAAAUGAUUAUAAUGGCCUUAUUUAAGUAUUCCCAGAAGAACCCAGAGAGAAGUCUAACUCUGCUUCCUGGGAAUCUUAAAACCUGGAGAGUACAUUCGCAAAAAAGGAAACGUUCAGAAACGUCAGCACAAUCUGGUAGCAUUAGUUCCCCGGAGAACGUUCCUGCUCACAGCGAUUCUCAGGGCCCGACACAUAACUUGAAGAGAAGAACUGAGGGAAAGACAAGAAGCCAGGGAGCUCCCCAGGACAGCAGUAACUGCCAAGUUUCUGAAGGAGGUGCAAGUACCGCCGGAGACAAGGAGCAAACAGGAAAGAAUUCCCGUCCAAAGGUUAAGGCCAGGCGGAGAAGACUACCGUCAAAUUCCAAUUUCAGCAAUAACUGUGCAAAGGAAGCAGGUAACUUGCAGGAAGAAAGCAAGCUACUCAGCGUUAGCUCUGUGCCUUUUUGCAAGAGACCACCCAUAGUUUGUUGGUGGUGGUGUGUCUAUCUCUCGUGGGUGUUAGUGAUAACUGUAAGUGGGGUAUCGUCAUUUUUCAUUGUACUGUAUGGUUUGUCUUACGGCUACCAGACUUCGCUGGAGUGGCUUUUAGCGUCGGCAACUUCCUUUAUUCAAAAUGUGUUCUUUGUUUCAAUCAUAAAAAUCAGUUGUUACUCAGCUUUGAAAACAGUUCGUCCAAAAUACUGUGAAAACAUUCCAUGGUCUACCCAGGAUCUCUCUUCUGAGAUCAAAGCAGAAAAGGAAGCAAUGAAUGAAGAAGAGAUGCGGGAGAAGCACUUCAAGCUUGCCCAGAUCAGAGACACCGAGCAGUACAAGCCUUUAAAAGAUGGGGAAAUUGCAAAGAUGCUGGAAACGGCAAAAAUUAAGGCCAAGGCAUUCAUUUUCAUAAAAGAUGUUAUCGGUCACCUUGUGGUUUUAGCAGUUGUCUUAUGUUUAGCUUAUUCUACUGAGAACACUAUCAGUUUCCACUACAACCAAUUUAUUCGGAACCAGUUCUCUCCCAGACUCCCUGCUGUGGUUAAGCUGGCAGAUAUUUACACGUGGGUGAACGACACCUUCUUGCCUUUGAUCCACAACGACGUUCAGCCAACUUUUCUUACCGACAGCUCAUCCAAAAUCAUCGGUUUGCCUAGGAUGAGGCAAGUGCGGGCUAAAGGUACUGAGAAAACGUGUUUCCACCCUCACAGCUUUGUAAAUAAAUUUGUAAUCAGUAAGAGCCACUGCCUUCACAAAUACGGCAGGGACCUCGAAGAGAAAGGUGACUAUGCUGGCACGUGGACAAAAGUCGCCAACCGUUCUUUUUCCAAGGAAACCAGCAGUUACCCUGGGUUUACUUACCAACCAAACUGGGCUCCCUGGACUUACUUCUCAUAUGGAGAUCUGCACACAUAUGGACCAGGAGGAUACACGUUUUACUUCUUCCCUGAAGAAGGAAGACAUAAUUCAACAACAAGGCUGCAUUUGCUGCAGGAGAGCAACUGGUUUGAUGAAAAGACCUGGGCUGUGAUCAUCGAACUGACUACGUUCACCUCUGAUGGAGAUCUCUUUUGCAGCAUCUCAGUCAUAUUUGAACUGUCUGAUUUUGGGAUCAUAAAACCAACUUUGUCAGUACACUCAUUUGCUGUCCCCAUUUUCCAUCAGCAAACAAAAGGUCGACAAUUGUUUUUCCUAGCUGCUGUUGCCUUUCUGCUCUUGUACAUUGCAGAUGGCCUCUACAGCAUGGUCCAAGGAAAAAAAAAUACUAAAACUAUUUCCAGGACAAUCAGCUUCAUCUUAAAAUGGGCAUUCUUCCUGAUUGUUCCUUUCCAGGUUUUAAAGUUCAAGAUGGGAGCUGAUAUUGUUCAUUUUUUCUUACUUUAUCCAAACGAUUUUAUUCCUUUUCACGCAGUUUCUCAUCUAGAUCAGAAUCUAAGGAAUACUUUGGGCUUUUUGGCAUUUCUUGCAGUUUUGAAGACACUAAAGUAUUCUCAGUUGUUUUAUGAGGUGCGUCUGGCUCAAAGAUCAAUCUUGGCAGCCCUUCCUGGGAUCUCCUCAAUGGCCUCUGUGGUGGUGGUGUACUUCUCUAUCUUUAUGGCUUUUGGCUACCUUGUGUUUGGCCAGCAUGAAUGGAAUUACAAUAAUAUGAUUCACUCAGCUCAGACCGUAUUCUCUUACUGCGUGUCUGCUUUCAGAGAUACUGCAUUUUCAUCCAGCAGGCUGCUGGGUGGUUUUUUCCUCACCUCCUUCCUGCUGGUGAUGACCUGUGUUUUGAUCAACCUCUUCCAAGCUGUUAUUAUGUCUGCCUACGGAGAUAGGAAACAACUUGUCUGUGAAGAACCACCUGAUGAAGCAAGAGCGGUUGCUUUCCUCCUGCAAAGGAUGAAAAAGAUGCUGUGUUUUCCAAUCUGUAGAACGGCCAAAAGAAGUGACCCCAAUCUUUGCCACGGUGUGCCCAACGGGCAAGCUGAGAAGAGAGUUCAGUGACAUUCGGGCCUUGAGAAAAGAAAAGCAAACGGGGAAAAAUGGUUUGUCUUGUAAUAAGAGCAAAGCAAGAUACUAUUUUCCAGACCACCUCUAGUCUGUAACACUUGUGUUUCAAAUAAAUGUUUUAAAUUAUUUUCUUGUGUUUUUUUUCAUGGAUUUUGUAGGAUUUAAACUUUUGUUACUGAGAUUUUCUCAGCAGAGACAAAUUGUGCGGAGGAUAUUUUGCACCCAUUUCAGCAGCACAUGUUGCUGGGGUGCAGUCUGCUGACCCAGCUGGGAAGGUAAGCGCCCAGCUAGUUGGUUGCUCACUGCCUAUACAGCAGGAUGGGCAGGGAAUUGGAAUGGCAAAGUAAGGAAAAAACAACACGUGGGUUGCAGUCUGUGAAAGAGGAUUUCUGAACCCCUCUCUUUAUUCUCCCUGGCUCAACGCUCCCUUUGUGAGGCCUGUUUUGGUGAUAAGACUCUAUCUGAGUACUGGGAAUUUUCUAGGGGGGCGAGUGGUAGGUGUUACUGUGCCACAUUACUUGUGGUCAUGAUUGUAGAGAUAAGCAGAAGGGGGGCAAGGAGCCUUUUUUGGGGGGUGUGGCUUGAAUGAGCCGACCACUGCAGAAAGCAGCAAUGCUUGUCCAUGGUAUCAAAGGCACCACUCCCUGCUGGCUUAUCUGGAGGGCCAGGAGCAUGACCCUAACAGAGAGAAAAGAAGAAGGAAAAAAAUGAACUGAGAAGCAGGGUAUAAAAGGUCCCCACUCACGUAAGUACUGUGGAGAGGUAUUCCCCAAGAAAAGAAAGCACUCUGGUGGAGGAAUACCCUAAGAGUAAGAAACCCCUUAGGACAAAACCCACUGUGCCUUGCUUGCUGCCAACUUUCCUGGCUUUCUCCCAUUCCCAUGGUAUUUGGACAAGUUCCUGGCAUCAGUGCAAAACUAUGAGCUACGCUGGAAACUGUGGUGGUGACUUUCUCUCUUCCAUUCUCCAAAGAUUCCUCGCUUUUAUUUUUGCAAUUGCACUAGAUAGCUAUGCUGCUUAGCUUGUACAACUUGGGCAGCCUUUGCCACCACCACUGUCAUCUGAUGUAUUGGGCACUGCUUGCCUGCCCAGGUGGGUCAACACAGAUAGGGAGCAGGAACAAUCACAGACCCACAGUGAAAACAAAAGAACACGUUUCUUUUCCAUUCCUCUCUAACCAGAGCAUUCCCUAAGCAACACCCAGGCAGAGGCACACAAGCAUAGACACAGGCAACAACUGAAAUCCACUCAUUCCAGGGAGUCACCAGUCUGCUGCUCAUGCCUGUUUAUCAAGGGUUUGCACAAGUGAUGUCUACCACUGUGCCCUGCUCUUCAGUAGGCUGUGAUCUUUUCCACAUCAAGACGGAAAGGUCCAGCACAUCCCACAGGGUACUUCACAUAUAAGAAUCACCUAUAUUGUCCGUACACGAAUGUUCUGCUUGUCCAACAUUCCAAGGAUAUCCUAUCCUUCUCACCAAGCUUCCAUUUUUAACCCAUUCCUCCCAACAUGGCCCUCAUCUGCUAGCUGCCAGGCACCACCGCCUGCUGCUCCUCAUCAGAGCAGGCACUUGGGAGAAGAAAUAUCCCGAGCACUGUGCACACGCAGUGACCUUUCUGACCUGGCAGCUUGUGACAGCAAUGGGCAGUUGGCAAUAUCCAAGAUCACCUACUAGAAAGGACAUAUUCCAUCACAACCCCAAAAGCAACUCUAUCCAGAAAGGAGAAAUUUAUUGUUACUUGAGCAAAUAACAUGACAGGGGGCUGUCAGUGGUUCUACAUACUUGCUCACUUUCUCACUGGCCAUUACAGCAAAGGUUAUCUUGUUGGUUAGCAUUAUUAUUACUAAAGCUGCUCUUUAAGAUCAGGUUCUUUAAAGCAGUCAAGAGUGAACAAGAAA
This is an RNA transcript of Lagopus muta (rock ptarmigan), 7066 nucleotides long. It is a transcript of the gene named polycystic kidney disease and receptor for egg jelly-related protein-like, with no coding region annotated. The record is from RefSeq and is a predicted model, not a curated record. The transcript is spliced from 4 exons. Lineage: Eukaryota; Metazoa; Chordata; Aves; Galliformes; Phasianidae.